GACGAACGCUGGCGGCGUGCCUAAUACAUGCCAGUCGAACGCACAGUUUAUACCGUAGCUUGCUACACCAUAGACUGUGAGUUGCGAACGGGUGAGUAACGCGUAGGUAACCUGCCUGGUAGCGGGGGAUAACUAUUGGAAACGAUAGCUAAUACCGCAUAAUAUUAAUUAUUGCAUGAUAAUUAAUUGAAAGGUGCAAUUGCACCACUACCAGAUGGACCUGCGUUGUAUUAGCUAGUAGGUGAGGUAACGGCUCACCUAGGCGACGAUACAUAGCCGACCGGAGAGGGUGAUCGGCCACACUGGGACUGAGACACGGCCCAGACUCCUACGGGAGGCAGCAGUAGGGAAUCUUCGGCAAUGGACGAAAGUCUGACCGAGCAACGCCGCGUGAGUGAAGAAGGGUUUCGGAUCGUAAAGCUCUGUUGUAAGAGAAGAACGGGUGUGAGAGUGGAAAGUUCACACUGUGACGGUAGCUUACCAGAAAGGGACGGCUAACUACGUG
RNAcentral lists this ribosomal RNA (505 nucleotides) under uncultured bacterium. RNAcentral's name for it is "partial 16S ribosomal RNA". It matches the Rfam family "Bacterial small subunit ribosomal RNA", at positions 28 to 507 of the family's 1533-position model. The record is from RNAcentral.